RNAcentral lists this ribosomal RNA (253 nucleotides) under uncultured bacterium. Its description in RNAcentral is "partial 16S ribosomal RNA". It matches the Rfam family "Bacterial small subunit ribosomal RNA", at positions 524 to 776 of the family's 1533-position model. The record is from RNAcentral.
UACAGAGGUGGCAAGCGUUGUUCGGAAUUACUGGGCGUAAAGGGCGCGUAGGCGGUCUUUUAAGUCUUGUGUGAAAUCCCUCGGCUCAACUGAGGAACUGCACGGGAUACUGGAAGACUUGAGUUCGGGAGAGGGAAGCGGAAUUCCUGGUGUAGCGGUGGAAUGCGCAGAUAUCAGGAGGAACACCGAUGGCGAAGGCAGGUCACUGGGCCGCAACUGACGCUGAGGAGCGAAAGCAUGGGGAGCGAACAGG